This 117-nucleotide ribosomal RNA is filed under the name Pteropus alecto (black flying fox). The record is from RNAcentral. Lineage: Eukaryota; Metazoa; Chordata; Mammalia; Chiroptera; Pteropodidae.
GUCUACAGCCAUACCACCCUGAACGAGCCCGAUCCCAUCUGAUCUCAGAAGCUAAGCAGGGUCGGGCCCGGUUAGUACUUGGAUGGGAGACCACAUAACACCCUUAAGAUCCACACA